RNAcentral lists this ribosomal RNA (603 nucleotides) under uncultured marine eukaryote. RNAcentral describes it as "SSU rRNA". It matches the Rfam family "Eukaryotic small subunit ribosomal RNA", at positions 616 to 1220 of the family's 1831-position model. The record is from RNAcentral.
CGGUUAAAAAGCUCGUAGUUGGAUCUCGGCAAGUAGAGGGCGGUAUGCUUCGUAGCAUUACUGCCCUAUUACUUGUAGUUUUGCCAGAGGUUCCUGGGUGCUCUUAAUAGAGUGUCUAGGGAUGCUGGCAGGUUUACUUUGAAAAAAUUAGAGUGCUCAAAGCAGGCUAUUACGCUUGAAUAUUCGUGCAUGGAAUAAUAGAAUAGGAAGUUGUUUCUAUUUUGUUGGUUUUCGGAAAUCGACUUAAUGAUUAAUAGGGACAGUCGGGGGCAUUUGUAUUCAAACGACAGAGGUGAAAUUCUUGGACCGUUUGAAGACAAACUACUGCGAAAGCAUUUGCCAAGAAUGUUUUCAUUAAUCAAGAACGAAAGUUAGAGGUUCGAAGGCGAUUAGAUACCGCCCUAGUUCUAACCAUAAACGAUGCCAGCUAGCGAUCUGAGGACGUUUUUUUUGUAGACUCCUCAGGAAGCUUCCGGGAAACCAAAGCGUGUGGGUUCCGGGGGAAGUAUGGUUGCAAAGCUGAAACUUAAAGGAAUUGACGGAAGGGCACCACCAGGAGUGGAGCCUGCGGCUUAAUUUGACUCAACACGGGAAAUCUCACCA